Molecule: ribosomal RNA, 565 nt
Filed under: uncultured Glomeromycotina
Lineage: Eukaryota; Fungi; Glomeromycota
Description: SSU rRNA
Rfam family: Eukaryotic small subunit ribosomal RNA
Source: RNAcentral
UUGGAGGGCAAGUCUGGUGCCAGCAGCCGCGGUAAUUCCAGCUCCAACAGCGUAUAUUAAAGUUGUUGCAGUUAAAAAGCUCGUAGUUGAAUUUCGGGGUUAGUAGGUUGGUCAUGCCACUGGUAUGUACUGGUCUCACUGAUUCCUCCUUCCUGAUGAGACGUAAUGCCAUUAAUUUGGUGUUGCGAGGAAUCUGGACUGUUACUUUGAAAAAAUUAGAGUGUUUAAAGCAGGCUAACGCUUGAAUACAUUAGCAUGGAAUAAUGAAAUAGGACGUUCGAUCUUAUUUUGUUGGUUUCUAGGAUUGACGUAAUGAUCAAUAGGGAUAGUUGGGGGCAUUAGUAUUCAAUUGUCAGAGGUGAAAUUCUUGGAUUUAUUGAAGACUAACUACUGCGAAAGCAUUUGCCAAGGAUGUUUUCAUUAAUCAAGAACGAAAGUUAGGGGAUCGAAGACGAUCAGAUACCGUCGUAGUCUUAACCAUAAACUAUGCCGACUAGGGAUCGGAUGAUGUUAAUUUUUUAAUGACUCAUUCGGCGCCUUACGGGAAACCAAAGUGUUUGGGUUC